Molecule: ribosomal RNA, 590 nt
Filed under: uncultured bacterium
Lineage: Bacteria
Description: bacterial SSU rRNA
Rfam family: Bacterial small subunit ribosomal RNA
Source: RNAcentral
ACGGGUGAGUAACACGUAGGUAACCUGCCAAUGAGACUGGGAUAACUAUCGGAAACGAUAGCUAAGACCGGAUAACUGGUUUUCUCGCAUGAGAGAAUCAUGAAACACGGAGCAAUCUGUGGCUUAUAGAUGGGCCUGCGGCGCAUUAGCUAGUUGGUAGGGUAAUGGCCUACCAAGGCGACGAUGCGUAGCCGACCUGAGAGGGUGAACGGCCACACUGGGACUGAGACACGGCCCAGACUCCUACGGGAGGCAGCAGUAGGGAAUCUUCCGCAAUGGACGCAAGUCUGACGGAGCAACGCCGCGUGAGUGAUGAAGGUUUUCGGAUCGUAAAGCUCUGUUGCCCUAGACGAACAGCAAGGAGAGUAACUGCUCUUUGUGUGACGGUAUAGGAGAAGAAAGCCCCGGCUAACUACGUGCCAGCAGCCGCGGUAAUACGUAGGGGGCAAGCGUUGUCCGGAAUUAUUGGGCGUAAAGCGCGCGCAGGCGGUCAAUUAAGUUGGGUGUUUAAGCCCGGGGCUCAACCCCGGUUCGCAUCCAAAACUGGUUGACUUGAGUGUAGGAGAGGAAAGUGGAAUUCCACGUGUAGC